AAGAGGGAAACAACCCAGACCGCCAGCUAAGGUCCCAAAGUCAUGGUUAAGUGGGAAACGAUGUGGGAAGGCCCAGACAGCCAGGAUGUUGGCUUAGAAGCAGCCAUCAUUUAAAGAAAGCGUAAUAGCUCACUGGUCGAGUCGGCCUGCGCGGAAGAUGUAACGGGGCUAAACCAUGCACCGAAGCUGCGGCAGCGACGCUGAUGCGUUGUUGGGUAGGGGAGCGUUCUGUAAGCCUGCGAAGGUGGCCUGUGAGGGUUGCUGGAGGUAUCAGAAGUGCGAAUGCUGACAUAAGUAACGAUAAAGCGGGUGAAAAGCCCGCUCGCCGGAAGACCAAGGGUUCCUGUCCAACGUUAAUCGGGGCAGGGUGAGUCGACCCCUAAGGCGAGGCCGAAAGGCGUAGUCGAUGGGAAACGGGUUAAUAUUCCCGUACUUGGUGUUACUGCGAAGGGGGGACGGAGAAGGCUAUGUUGGCCGGGCGACGGUU
RNAcentral lists this ribosomal RNA (487 nucleotides) under Salmonella enterica. Its description in RNAcentral is "partial 23S ribosomal RNA". It matches the Rfam family "Bacterial large subunit ribosomal RNA", at positions 1013 to 1503 of the family's 2925-position model. Lineage: Bacteria; Pseudomonadati; Pseudomonadota; Gammaproteobacteria; Enterobacterales; Enterobacteriaceae. The record is from RNAcentral.